This 298-nucleotide unclassified non-coding RNA is filed under the name fungal sp. Its description in RNAcentral is "partial internal transcribed spacer region". The stretch from base 1 to 46 matches the Rfam family "Eukaryotic small subunit ribosomal RNA", at positions 1786 to 1831 of the family's 1831-position model. Lineage: Eukaryota; Fungi. The record is from RNAcentral.
AAGUCGUAACAAGGUUUCCGUAGGUGAACCUGCGGAAGGAUCAUUACUGUGUUGAAGAGACUUCGGUUUCUGAAACCCGUCCUCAUGUCAUUUAAGUUCCGCGAUGCAAAUCGCUCGAACUCAUUGUUAUUUCGGCCGAAGCGUUUAGGUACUGGGCGGUUGAGCAAUCUACCAAGCAGGCCCGAACCGCGGUCGGUGGCCGUAAGGCCAACGCCUUUUACUCUUUGCAAUACUUUUGAAGUCUGAGCGAUAUGAUAAAUGAAAAGCAAAACUUUCAACAACGGAUCUCUUGGCUCUG